RNAcentral lists this ribosomal RNA (1062 nucleotides) under Salmonella enterica subsp. enterica serovar Bredeney. Its description in RNAcentral is "partial 23S ribosomal RNA". It matches the Rfam family "Bacterial large subunit ribosomal RNA", at positions 582 to 1644 of the family's 2925-position model. Lineage: Bacteria; Pseudomonadati; Pseudomonadota; Gammaproteobacteria; Enterobacterales; Enterobacteriaceae. The record is from RNAcentral.
CCCUUUGGGGUGUGACUGCGUACCUUUUGUAUAAUGGGUCAGCGACUUAUAUUCUGUAGCAAGGUUAACCGAAUAGGGGAGCCGGAGGGAAACCGAGUCUUAAUUGGGCGUUAAGUUGCAGGGUAUAGACCCGAAACCCGGUGAUCUAGCCAUGGGCAGGUUGAAGGUUGGGUAACACUAACUGGAGGACCGAACCGACUAAUGUUGAAAAAUUAGCGGAUGACCUGUGGCUGGGGGUGAAAGGCCAAUCAAACCGGGAGAUAGCUGGUUCUCCCCGAAAGCUAUUUAGGUAGCGCCUCGUGAAUUCAUCUCCGGGGGUAGAGCACUGUUUCGGCUAGGGGGCCAUCCCGGCUUACCAACCCGAUGCAAACUGCGAAUACCGGAGAAUGUUAUCACGGGAGACACACGGCGGGUGCUAACGUCCGUCGUGAAGAGGGAAACAACCCAGACCGCCAGCUAAGGUCCCAAAGUCAUGGUUAAGUGGGAAACGAUGUGGGAAGGCCCAGACAGCCAGGAUGUUGGCUUAGAAGCAGCCAUCAUUUAAAGAAAGCGUAAUAGCUCACUGGUCGAGUCGGCCUGCGCGGAAGAUGUAACGGGGCUAAACCAUGCACCGAAGCUGCGGCAGCGACGCUGAUGCGUUGUUGGGUAGGGGAGCGUUCUGUAAGCCUGCGAAGGUGGCCUGUGAGGGUUGCUGGAGGUAUCAGAAGUGCGAAUGCUGACAUAAGUAACGAUAAAGCGGGUGAAAAGCCCGCUCGCCGGAAGACCAAGGGUUCCUGUCCAACGUUAAUCGGGGCAGGGUGAGUCGACCCCUAAGGCGAGGCCGAAAGGCGUAGUCGAUGGGAAACGGGUUAAUAUUCCCGUACUUGGUGUUACUGCGAAGGGGGGACGGAGAAGGCUAUGUUGGCCGGGCGACGGUUGUCCCGGUUUAAGCGUGUAGGUGUGUGUUCCAGGUAAAUCCGGUUCACUUUAACACUGAGGCGUGAUGACGAGGCACUACGGUGCUGAAGCAACAAAUGCCCUGCUUCCAGGAAAAGCCUCUAAGCAUCAGGUAACAUCAAAUCG